RNAcentral lists this ribosomal RNA (937 nucleotides) under Alexandrium minutum. RNAcentral's name for it is "LSU rRNA". It matches the Rfam family "Eukaryotic large subunit ribosomal RNA", at positions 1 to 875 of the family's 3401-position model. Lineage: Eukaryota; Dinophyceae; Gonyaulacales; Pyrocystaceae. The record is from RNAcentral.
ACAGCGUAAACUUAACAUGAAGUGAAGCAUGUAAACCUGCUGAAUUUAAGCAUAUAAGUAGGCGGUGGAAAAUGAACCAAAUGGGAUUCCUUAAGUAAUUGCGAAUGAACAAGGAAAUGCUCAGCUUGAAAAAUGGGGCCUUUGGUUUUGAGUUGUAAUUUUGAAAUGUAUUGCCAAUGGAGGCGCAGGUGCAAGCCUAUUGAAAGAAAGCGUCAAUGAGGGUGAGAUUCCUUUUUGUCAUUUGCAGUCGUCCAUGCACGGUAUAUAUUUGACGAGUCACACUCCUCGGCAUUGGAAUGCAAAGUGGGUGGUAAAUUCCAUGUAAAGGUAAAUAUAUUAUUGAGACUGAUAGCAAACAAGUACCAUGAGGGAAAUAUGAAAAGGACUUUGAAAAGAGAAUUAAAAGAGUCUGCAUUUGCUGAACAGAAAGCAAACAGAAUUGAUUUUACUUGGUGAGAUUGUUGUGCUUACUCUAUCAUUUAUAUGGUUGAUGUGGGUGCGAUGGUUCUUACCUUGAAUGUCAGCUUCUAUUUCUGCAAAUCAUUACCCUUGCACAUGAAUGGUAAUUUGCCUGCGGGUAUUGGAAUGCAUGUGUUUGCAAUGAUUUGUGAUUUGACGCAUGUGUUUGGUGAAAUUUGUAUAUGCUCUUUUGUCGAAGGGGAAAGCUUACUUUUUUGAGCAUUGCUAGCCCUUACACAUCAGUGCUGGCAAAAUGUUUCUGCUUGACCCGUCUUGAAACACGGACCAAGGAGUCUAACAGAUGUGCAAGUUCGUGGGUGGCAAACCUUUUUGCSCAAUGAAAGUAUUGGCUGGGAUACUUGCACCAGCAGCCGACCAAUUAGCAGACAGAGGUUUGAGUUUGAGCAUAUCUAUUAGGACCCGAAAGAUGGUGAACUAUGCCUGAACAGAAUGAAUCAGAGGAAACUCUGAUGACGUA